Molecule: ribosomal RNA, 614 nt
Filed under: uncultured bacterium
Lineage: Bacteria
Description: bacterial SSU rRNA
Rfam family: Bacterial small subunit ribosomal RNA
Source: RNAcentral
CCUACGGGAGGCAGCAGUGGGGAAUUUUGGACAAUGGGCGAAAGCCUGAUCCAGCAAUGCCGCGUGAGUGAAGAAGGCCUUCGGGUUGUAAAGCUCUUUUGUCAGGGAAGAAACGGUGAGGGCUAAUAUCCCUUGCUAAUGACGGUACCUGAAGAAUAAGCACCGGCUAACUACGUGCCAGCAGCCGCGGUAAUACGUAGGGUGCAAGCGUUAAUCGGAAUUACUGGGCGUAAAGCGUGCGCAGGCGGUUUUGUAAGUCUGUCGUGAAAUCCCCGGGCUCAACCUGGGAAUUGCGAUGGAGACUGCAAGGCUAGAAUCUGGCAGAGGGGGGUAGAAUUCCACGUGUAGCAGUGAAAUGCGUAGAGAUGUGGAGGAACACCGAUGGCGAAGGCAGCCCCCUGGGUCAAGAUUGACGCUCAUGCACGAAAGCGUGGGGAGCAAACAGGAUUAGAUACCCUGGUAGUCCACGCCCUAAACGAUGUCUACUAGUUGUCGGGUUUUAAUUAACUUGGUAACGCAGCUAACGCGUGAAGUAGACCGCCUGGGGAGUACGGUCGCAAGAUUAAAACUCAAAUGAAUUGACCGGNUGAGNGNGCGAGAGACACGAGGAGAGG